GGAAUCUUCCGCAAUGGGCGAAAGCCUGACGGAGCAACGCCGCGUGAGUGAAGAAGGUCUUCGGAUCGUAAAGCUCUGUCGAAGGGGACGAACGUGGGUUCUAUCAACAACGGAACCUAAUGACGGUACCUUUCAAGAAAGCCACGGCUAACUACGUGCCAGCAGCCGCGGUAAUACGUAGGUGGCGAGCGUUGUCCGGAAUCAUUGGGCGUAAAGGGAGCGCAGGCGGUUUUUUAAGUCUGAUGUGAAAGCCUUCGGCUUAACCGAAGAAGUGCAUCGGAAACUGGGAAACUUGAGUGCAGAAGAGGACAGUGGAACUCCAUGUGUAGCGGUGAAAUGCGUAGAUAUAUGGAAGAACACCAGUGGCGAAGGCGGCUGUCUGGUCUGUAACUGACGCUGAGGCUCGAAAGCAUGGGUAGCGAACA
This 425-nucleotide ribosomal RNA is filed under the name uncultured bacterium. RNAcentral's name for it is "bacterial SSU rRNA". It matches the Rfam family "Bacterial small subunit ribosomal RNA", at positions 358 to 774 of the family's 1533-position model. The record is from RNAcentral.